GUGGUUUGUCGCGUUGUUCGUGAAAUCUCACGGCUUAACUGUGAGCGUGCGGGCGAUACGGGCAGACUUGAGUACUGCAGGGGAGACUGGAAUUCCUGGUGUAGCGGUGGAAUGCGCAGAUAUCAGGAGGAACACCGGUGGCGAAGGCGGGUCUCUGGGCAGUAACUGACGCUGAGGAGCGAAAGCGUGGGGAGCGAACAGGAUUAGAUACCCUGGUAGUCCACGCCGUAAACGGUGGGUACUAGGUGUGGGUUUCCUUCCUUGGGAUCCGUGCCGUAGCUAACGCAUUAAGUACCCCGCCUGGGGAGUACGGCCGCAAGGCUAAAACUCAAAGAAAUGGACGGGGGCCCGCACAAGCGGCGGAGCAUGUGGAUUAAUUCGAUGCAACGCGAAGAACCUUACCUGGGUUUGACAUGCACAGGACGCCGGCAGAGAUGUCGGUUCCCUUGUGGCCUGUGUGCAGGUGGUGCAUGGCUGUCGUCAGCUCGUGUCGUGAGAUGUUGGGUUAAGUCCCGCAUCGAGCGCAACCCUUGUCUCAUGUUGCCAGCGGGUAAUGCCGGGACUCGUGAGAGACUGCCGGGGUCUACUCGGAGGAAGGUGGGGAUGACGUCAAGUCAUCAUGCCCCUUAUGUCCAGGGCUUCACACAUGCUACAAUGGCCGGUACAAAGGGCUGCGAUGCCGUGAGGUUAAGCGAAUCCUUUUAAAGCCGGUCUCAGUUCGGAUCGGGGUCUGCAACUC
This 739-nucleotide ribosomal RNA is filed under the name uncultured Mycobacterium sp. Its description in RNAcentral is "bacterial SSU rRNA". It matches the Rfam family "Bacterial small subunit ribosomal RNA", at positions 575 to 1313 of the family's 1533-position model. The record is from RNAcentral. Lineage: Bacteria; Bacillati; Actinomycetota; Actinomycetes; Mycobacteriales; Mycobacteriaceae.